Molecule: long non-coding RNA, 3108 nt
Filed under: Zea mays
Lineage: Eukaryota; Viridiplantae; Streptophyta; Magnoliopsida; Poales; Poaceae
Description: long non-coding RNA (ZMAY_LNC001118)
Source: RNAcentral
AUCAAAAGAACAAUGCAUAAAAAGCGUAAAUAACGAUUACAUUAACAUAUUACACUUCGAAUAGACAUAAUGUCUUAACCUUUAUUCAUCAAAGUACAGCGAAACAAGGAUAUCCAUCCACAGGAAGAUGACCGGGGGUAUCACUAGACUAGCAUCCAUGGAGCUCAGCAUCAUAACUUCAUCUGCAAACUUUUGAUCAAAAUUAAGCAAGGGUGAGCUCACUUAUGGUCGGGGCUCAGCAAGUGGGGGAAAAACUAAUGCAAGGUAACAAGGUGAGGCUGAGGUUGAGCAGUAAGCAUUUUAGUUGGUCAACAUUUUAUUAACAACACAUGUCUUAAUAAUAAGUGUGAAUCACAAGUAUUCCCAUUAAGCAAAUGUAUAAGAGUAUAUCAAAAACACUUAAGUGAAACCACUUAAGCAAAACCAUUGGUAGAUCAUCGGAUCUCGAUUUAUUUCCAUCUUCAAGUUCAAUUAUCAUGUGAGGAGUCCAGGCUGCUCAUAACCGUGAGCACGGCUGAUAUAUCAGUUUUACACUCUGCAGAGGUGGUACAACUUUACCCACAAGUCGUGUAUCCCCUCUAGCCUGGGUCGGCCAAAACCCGUAAACACUUCCGAGGUGAGUGGCUAGGGAUCCACUAUGAGGCUUUCACAAAAUACACUUAAAACGAAGCAACCCGCUAAGGUUUCUAAAGACGAUGGUGGUGGCCCCCUGGGUGAGGUACCUUAGCCAAGAAUACGUCCCCAUGUUAACGUGGGCUGCCAACACCUACCGCUCCCCCUCUUGCCCAUAUUUCAGGUAAGGUUGCCAGGCACUAAGCAUAUAAAGCUAAUUACCAAAGCCAGAGCCAUGAUAGCACUCGUGGUUGCACUGUUUUUCCCAGGUGGUCACUCCAUGUUCCAAUUAAUAUGCAAUAAUCUUGUUUAACCAUCGGGUUAACAACAAUAAUGUAAACUUACCAUUUUGGAACAUUAAUAUCAUAAGCGGGAGUGAUUGCAUAAAGUUAAGUUGUAGCAAUAGCAUAGCUACGAAGGUAAAGUAUAAUUCCCAGGUUUGAUCAAGGAAUAAGGUUGGAAAGGUUAUCUAAAUAGGUAACCCGUCAAAUUAUGCAUAUAUAUCCAAAAGAAUAAACUUUAUUAAAUGUAUUGUUUGGGAUCAAACAGAGUAUGCAGAGGGAGAAAUCCACUUGCCUUGCUUAUUGAAAACUUGAGGUUCUUCCACGGAUCGGAAUAGAUCUUGAUUCUUAACUACUAGAUCAACCACUGAAUAUCACACAAACAAACAAGAAGAACAAACACCACUCAAUAAUAUACAACAUUCACCAUACGUGAAGCUAAAAGAAAGCCUAAUAAAAGAACGUUCGCUUUUCAAAAACAUUACACGCAAAGGUUAUAAUAAAAAGGUAUUCCUUUCAAAAAUGUGUGAUCUAUACGUUAUAAAACAAGACAUGAGCUUAAAAGUAUAUUAAUUAAAAUCUACAAAUAUUAAGUUCACCAAUUUAAUCUUUUAUAAAUCGUCAUAUGUGAUAUGUCUAAGAUUAAGGGUUUAUAAGAUGUUAAAACAUGUUAUAACAAUAUUAAACCUUUUUAACCUUUUAGAAAAGAUAUAAGUUAUAAAUCUAAGGUUAAUGCGUUAUGAAAUACCUUAUUAAUUUUAGAAGCAUUAUGGAACUCAUUAUAAUUCAUUGUUAAACGUUUAGUUAUGAUAAACUAAGAUAUAAGUCUAAAUAGUUUUUAUGUGAAAAGAUCAUUAUUAUUAAACACCUAUUUUAUGAAAAACUAGGUUAUAGGCCUUUAAGUGGAUUUUCACGUAAAAGAUAAUAAACAAAUAACUAUCUUUUAAUUUCAUUAGAAAACACAUAGCCUAUAUUAGUAUAUUCGAAGUCAAUGUAUAAGUAAUAUUUUAAGUUAUAAAAGAACUUAAACUCUUAUUACUUUAUUUUAUUCCUUUAGGAAAAUCUAAGUGAUUCUUAUAUAAUGUGAACUAAAUUCUAUGAAAUCAUUAAUCAUGCCAUAAAUCUAGUUAAGAACAAAUUGACUGUAGGUUUAAUUAAUAAGUUAUGAUAAAUGAUAAUUAAUCUAUUAAUUAUCUUUAAUUCUAUUGUAGGAACAAAUGAUCUAAAUGAUCUAAUUUAUUAGAAAGGAAAAUAUAUUCGACAUUAUAUCACUUCAGUUUAGUUAUGAGGGUAUAAGCACCUAAUUAAGUCAUUUUAACAUUUUUAGGAAACUCUAUUUUUUUCUUAGUGGGAAUAAAGAAUGUUUGUGCAUAAAAACAUGUAACAUUUUGAUUAUGAAUCACACUUUAUCAGCAAAGAUAAUCUUAUAAUUAUUUACCUAAUGUUUUUAUUUACGAAAGGAUGAUCUACAAUUCUUUUUAAUUUCAUAUUUAGAAAUCUAUGUAUAAAAUGAUUAUAGCAGCAUAAAUCAAUUAAUUUACUAAAUUAUGUGAAUUGUUUAAAAAUACUAUUUAAAAUUGUUUAACACAUAAUUAUGAAACUAACAAAAGCAUUCUUAUUUUAUUUGAUAUACAAUUAUUCAGUUAAAGAAAAUAUAAACGUCGCAGGGAUCUAAACGAUAUUAAAUAUGGAAAUCAAAGGGUAGCUAACAAAAAAAAUAGAUCUCGUCUUCUACCUUCAGCACGUGGCCACGGUACAUGGAGCGGAUCGACGGUUUUAGCGGUGCGGACGAGCUAGGCGCAAGGACGCAUUUUCCUGGCGAUGAUGACGGUGUUCGGUGUGGCGAUGGCACGGCGGCAGCAGCAGGCGCAGAGAAGAACGUGUAGGAAUGCGACGAGGCUCUUCGGCGGGGAGCACCGGCGACGUCAAGCGACGCAGCAGCAAUCACGGCGACGACGGCGAGCGGUGGUGCUGCUGCGCGUGUGGGCAGGGGUUCUUGAUGUGGGACGGGGCUCCGAUGCAUAUGUCUAGGCACAGGGAGAAACUAUCGGCGAGGAGACAAAGACAUGGCGUCGGUAUGGCACGAGCAGCAGAAAACGACGCAGGACAGUGGAGCGGCAGUAUAGGGCAGUCGACGAGCGCGAGCAGAGAAACAAUUGGACGACGGCGCAACAGCAUGGCACGAGAGCGAGUGUGGCGCAUGAGAACGAGCGAG